Molecule: ribosomal RNA, 716 nt
Filed under: Sulfitobacter sp.
Lineage: Bacteria; Pseudomonadati; Pseudomonadota; Alphaproteobacteria; Rhodobacterales; Roseobacteraceae
Description: bacterial SSU rRNA
Rfam family: Bacterial small subunit ribosomal RNA
Source: RNAcentral
CGCCAUGCGCAGCUACACAUGCAGUCGAGCGAGACCUUCGGGUCUAGCGGCGGACGGGUUAGUAACGCGUGGGAACGUGCCCUUCUCUGCGGAAUAGCCACUGGAAACGGUGAGUAAUACCGCAUACGCCCUUCGGGGGAAAGAUUUAUCGGAGAAGGAUCGGCCCGCGUUAGAUUAGAUAGUUGGUGGGGUAACGGCCUACCAAGUCUACGAUCUAUAGCUGGUUUUAGAGGAUGAUCAGCAACACUGGGACUGAGACACGGCCCAGACUCCUACGGGAGGCAGCAGUGGGGAAUCUUAGACAAUGGGCGCAAGCCUGAUCUAGCCAUGCCGCGUGUGUGAUGAAGGUCUUAGGAUCGUAAAGCACUUUCGCCAGGGAUGAUAAUGACAGUACCUGGUAAAGAAACCCCGGCUAACUCCGUGCCAGCAGCCGCGGUAAUACGGAGGGGGUUAGCGUUGUUCGGAAUUACUGGGCGUAAAGCGCGCGUAGGCGGAUUGGAAAGUUGGGGGUGAAAUCCCGGGGCUCAACCCCGGAACUGCCUCCAAAACUAUCAGUCUAGAGUUCGAGAGAGGUGAGUGGAAUUCCAAGUGUAGAGGUGAAAUUCGUAGAUAUUUGGAGGAACACCAGUGGCGAAGGCGGCUCACUGGCUCGAUACUGACGCUGAGGUGCGAAAGUGUGGGGAGCAAACAGGAUUAGAUACCCCGGUUAGUCCAAA